AUAUUUAUCUGGCACUGGAGAGACUAGGAUCACAAAGGUGGUAUUCCAAGAGUGAGGCUCAUGAAUUGCACCCCAGAUGUGCUGAUCCCUGUGAUUUUUCCCAAAUGUGGAAAAUUUGACUGUAUAAUUUGUGGUAAUGGUAACUGAAUUGGUAAUUUUCCCC
This is a small nuclear RNA of Sorex araneus (European shrew), 163 nucleotides long. Its record names the gene U1. It matches the Rfam family "U1 spliceosomal RNA". Rfam says of the family: U1 is a small nuclear RNA (snRNA) component of the spliceosome (involved in pre-mRNA splicing). Its 5' end forms complementary base pairs with the 5' splice junction, thus defining the 5' donor site of an intron. There are significant differences in sequence and secondary structure between metazoan and yeast U1 snRNAs, the latter being much longer (568 nucleotides as compared to 164 nucleotides in human). NCBI's taxonomy places the organism in Eukaryota, Metazoa, Chordata, Mammalia, Eulipotyphla, Soricidae. The record is from Ensembl.